UAAGGGAUAGCUCAGUUGGUAGAGCAUGAGACUCUUAAUCUUAGGGCAAUGGGUUUGAGCCCCACAUUGAGCAAAA
Molecule: transfer RNA, 76 nt
Filed under: Podarcis lilfordi (Lilford's wall lizard)
Lineage: Eukaryota; Metazoa; Chordata; Lepidosauria; Squamata; Lacertidae
Description: tRNA.Lys
Rfam family: tRNA (bases 8-65)
About the family: Transfer RNA (tRNA) molecules are approximately 80 nucleotides in length. Their secondary structure includes four short double-helical elements and three loops (D, anti-codon, and T loops).
Source: RNAcentral